Molecule: long non-coding RNA, 886 nt
Organism: Gossypium arboreum
Lineage: Eukaryota; Viridiplantae; Streptophyta; Magnoliopsida; Malvales; Malvaceae
Exons: 2
Source: RefSeq, a predicted model, not a curated record
CAAAUUGGACGGAAAUUGAAGGCUGUGCGCAAGGGGAAGGACUUUUUGCAUAAAUAGACCAUUUUAGGCGCAAAAGGCUCCCCCCACCCUUCUUACACGGUAUCGUUUUGCUUAAUAUUUGAAACUAAAAGCCAUUGAAUGGCAGCUUACUAUUCCCUUUUUUUUUUCGCCAUAAGCAGUAGACCCAAUUCUUAGGGUUUCAACACAGCAAAUUUUGGGGUUUUCCCAUCCCCCCAUUUGACCAUUCGACUGCCCCAUUCCACCAUUGAAAUUGAUGGACGGUGGCUCCCCAUGGAGUCGUUUCAUUCUCCUACUCUAAGCCUCAGCUCUAAAGAAAACAUAUGAAACACGAAAGGAAGAUGAAACAGAUGCAGAAAAAAAAGAAGAAACACAAGGCGUUCGGAAAAAAAAUCACCUUCUAGUUCUAUUCUGAUUUCUCUUUAUCGCGGAUUGCGUAAAUAUCUGUUUUUUUGUGUAACUGAUUACAAGGAUUAAAAUUUCGGCUUUAUAGCCGAAGAAAAAAAAGAAAAUCAAAAUAAAAAAUACAAUAUUUCUAUUUUGUUUGCAUUCGCUGCUGUUCUGCCUCGUUUGUUUGCAGGUACGGAGGUAUGGAGCCAGCUGUGGGGAUAUGUGGCACUUGACGUGGGGCGUACGGAGGCGUUGAAGGCGGUCGUACGGCGCGAGGGCUGGGAUCGUCUGCGGUUGCGGCGCAAAUGUGAGGAGGAAACCCUAGAGUUUCUUUGUUUAGGCAUUUGGGUUUAUUGGGCCUAUUUUUGGGUCAGGUCUAGGUUUAGGAGUUUUAAUUUUGGGUUUAGGGUCAUGUAUUAAUUUUAGGUUUUGGACUGUUAAAAGGACUUUUAAUUAAUGGACUGUUUCAUUUAUUGUA